GACGAACGCUGGCGGCGUGCUUAACACAUGCAAGUCGAACGCGCCUGUCCUCUGGGUUUCUGGGGGGUGGGUGAGUGGCGAACGGGUGAGUAACACGUGAGUAACCUGCCCCCUUCUUCGGGAUAACGGUCUGAAAGGGCUGCUAAUACCGGGUAUUCACUGGUCUCCGCAUGGGGUCUGGUGGAAAGGUUUUUUUCUGGUGGGGGAUGGGCUCGCGGCCUAUCAGCUUGUUGGUGGGGUGAUGGCCCACCAAGGCUUUGACGGGUAGCCGGCCUGAGAGGGUGACCGGUCACAUUUGGACUGAGAUACGGCCCAGACUCCUACGGGAGGCAGCAGUGGGGAAUAUUGCACAAUGGGCGCAAGCCUGAUGCAGCGACGCCGCGUGAGGGAUGGAGGCCUUCGGGUUGUGAACCUCUUUCGCCCGUGGUCAAGCCGCGACGUGGGUCGUGGUGAGGGUAGUGGGUAAAGAAGCGCCGGCUAACUACGUG
RNAcentral lists this ribosomal RNA (488 nucleotides) under uncultured bacterium. RNAcentral describes it as "partial 16S ribosomal RNA". It matches the Rfam family "Bacterial small subunit ribosomal RNA", at positions 28 to 507 of the family's 1533-position model. The record is from RNAcentral.